This 624-nucleotide ribosomal RNA is filed under the name Enterococcus hirae. Its description in RNAcentral is "bacterial SSU rRNA". It matches the Rfam family "Bacterial small subunit ribosomal RNA", at positions 382 to 995 of the family's 1533-position model. Lineage: Bacteria; Bacillati; Bacillota; Bacilli; Lactobacillales; Enterococcaceae. The record is from RNAcentral.
UCUGACCGAGCAACGCCGCGUGAGUGAAGAAGGUUUUCGGAUCGUAAAACUCUGUUGUUAGAGAAGAACAAGGAUGAGAGUAACUGUUCAUCCCUUGACGGUAUCUAACCAGAAAGCCACGGCUAACUACGUGCCAGCAGCCGCGGUAAUACGUAGGUGGCAAGCGUUGUCCGGAUUUAUUGGGCGUAAAGCGAGCGCAGGCGGUUUCUUAAGUCUGAUGUGAAAGCCCCCGGCUCAACCGGGGAGGGUCAUUGGAAACUGGGAGACUUGAGUGCAGAAGAGGAGAGUGGAAUUCCAUGUGUAGCGGUGAAAUGCGUAGAUAUAUGGAGGAACACCAGUGGCGAAUGCGGCUCUCUGGUCUGUAACUGACGCUGAGGCUCGAAAGCGUGGGGAGCAAACAGGAUUAGAUACCCUGGUAGUCCACGCCGUAGACGAUGAGUGCUAAGUGUUGGAGGGUUUCCGCCCUUCAGUGCUGCAGCUAACGCAUUAAGCACUCCGCCUGGGGAGUACGACCGCAAGGUUGAAACUCAAAGGGAAUUGACGGGGGCCCGCACAAGCGGUGGAGCAUGUGGUUUAAUUUCGAAGCAACGCGAGAAUCUUUACCAGGUCUUGGACAUCCCUUUG